Molecule: ribosomal RNA, 795 nt
Filed under: uncultured bacterium
Lineage: Bacteria
Description: bacterial SSU rRNA
Rfam family: Bacterial small subunit ribosomal RNA
Source: RNAcentral
UGAGUAACGCGUUGGUGACCUGCCCCGAAGAGAGGGAUAACAGUUCGAAAGGAUUGCUAAUACCUCAUGUGGUUAUAUGGUUUAGAAGCUUAUAACUAAACGGAUUUAUUCGCUUCGGGAGGGGCCUGCGUCCCAUCAGCUAGUUGGUAAGGUAAUGGCCUACCAAGGCGAUGACGGGUAGGGGACCUGAGAGGGUGGCCCCCCACAAUGGAACUGAAACACGGUCCAUACACCUACGGGUGGCAGCAGUAGGGAAUAUUGGUUAAUGUGGGAAACCGCGAACCAGCAACGCCGCGUGCACGAUGAAGGCCUUCGGGUCGUAAAGUGCUUUUAGAGAGGAUGAGGAAGGACAGUACUCUCUGAAUAAGCCUCGGCUAACUACGUGCCAGCAGCCGCGGUAAAACGUAGGAGGCGAGCGUUAUCCGGAUUUACUGGGCGUAAAGCGCGUGUAGGCGGUCUGACAAGUUGGAUGUGAAAGCUCCUGGCUUAACUGGGAGAGGUCGUUCAAAACUGUUAGACUUGAGAGUGGUAGAGGGAGGUGGAAUUCCGGGUGUAGUGGUGAAAUGCGUAGAUAUCCGGAGGAACACCAGUGGCGAAAGCGGCCUCCUGGACCAUUUCUGACGCUCAGACGCGAAAGCUAAGGUAGCAAACGGGAUUAGAGACCCCGGUAGUCUUAGCUGUAAACGAUGUGAACUAGGUGUCGGUGGGUUCAAAUCCAUCGGUACCGAAGCUAACGCGAUAAGUUCACCGCCUGGGGACUACGGCCGCAAGGUUAAAACUCAAAGGAAUUGACGG